AGCUGAUCACUGGGUUUAAAGCGUGCGCAGGCGGUUUUGUAAGACAGAGGUGAAAUCCCCGGGCUCAACCUGGGAACUGCCUUUGUGACUGCAAGGCUGGAGUGCGGCAGAGGGGGAUGGAAUUCCGCGUGUAGCAGUGAAAUGCGUAGAUAUGCGGAGGAGCACCGAUGGCGAAGGCAAUCCCCUGGGCCUGCACUGACGCUCGUGCACGAAAGCGUGGGGAGCAAACA
RNAcentral lists this ribosomal RNA (230 nucleotides) under uncultured Alicycliphilus sp. RNAcentral's name for it is "partial 16S ribosomal RNA". It matches the Rfam family "Bacterial small subunit ribosomal RNA", at positions 550 to 774 of the family's 1533-position model. The record is from RNAcentral. Lineage: Bacteria; Pseudomonadati; Pseudomonadota; Betaproteobacteria; Burkholderiales; Comamonadaceae.